This is a long non-coding RNA of Oreochromis niloticus (Nile tilapia), 2722 nucleotides long. Lineage: Eukaryota; Metazoa; Chordata; Actinopteri; Cichliformes; Cichlidae. The record is from Ensembl.
UACAGCAUUAUAUGGAAUUUAACUGUGUAUGAGAAUCUCACAAAUGGUGACACUUUCACAUACAUUAAUUUAUGAGCUCAGCAAAACAGCAAAUAAUCUCUUCCUUUUUUGUGGCUCCUCCUCAGAUACACAUAAAGCUGACAGUAAAGUUCAGGUCUGUUUCUCUCUCUGUCUGAUGAUCAUGAUGUUCAAGCUAAACCAAGCAGCACUUCUCUUCAUUCAGCUGUUAGUGGUGUGUCAUGUCUUUGCAGACACUUUUAAAGACGACCACAGAGCUGUGCUGGUAUCCAGAGGACACUCAGUGAUGCUGAGUUGCAACAUAUCCAAGACAAAUGCAACACUGAUCACCUGGACCAACAGCAGAUCUGUUUUUCAAUAUUCCACUGUGCUGAAUUGCACCCAUUCAAAUUUCUCAUUUCAUAGACUGAAAAUAAAUCAUGAGUUCCCUACAAAGCUAAUUAUUUUUAGUGCUCAACCUGAAGAUGAAGGACUUUAUAAAUGUAUCAUAGCUGACCUAGAUCGCCUACACAGCAUUACAUGGAAUUUAACUGUGUCUGAGAACCCAGAAGAUUCAAUUUCAUCACAAUAUUUUCUAUACAUACUCCCACCUGCAAUUGGAUUCCUUCUGUGUGGCAUCACACCAGCUGUUUUCCUCUACAGGUGAGUAAAACCUUUAUAACUUCAUGAUGAAUGCAUGAAUGUUGCUCUUUUUUAUGCUGCUGCAGAACUGCUGUCGGUACUUUCAAGACUGGUUUGCUUAAUACUCUUGAACAUAGUUUUUUAUUGUGUAUGCCUGCAUUUAAAGUGUCACUUUACCUCAAAUUACAAAUGAUUAUUUUUAUGUUGACCAAGCAGUUUAGUUUUAUUUAUAUGUCCAGGUUUACAAAUAUCUGAAGGCUUCAUCAAAUAAGAAGAGAAGAGGGACCUGAAAACGUGUUUGUGUGCCUUUUAUCAUGAUGUUUAUGGACUUGGAGAUUUAAAUUGUUAUAUUUCCAUCAUGUAUUUACAGCAUGAAAAAGAAACCACCUACAAGAUAACAUUAAAUAAAAUAUAUGCUGUAGUUCAGGUAAAGUAGAUUCAUAAACUCAAAAUGAACUGACUCAGUUCAUUUCAGUUAAAUAAGAAAAUAAUCACAUUAGUGGUCAGAGGCUGAAUGCUCACACCAAACCAAUUAUUCAUCUGCAAAACUCCUCAUUUCACUUCUGAGGCCAGAACUUCUUUUUAUUGCUAUUUUUUUAAAAAUUUUAUUUCACAAAAUGAUCGAUUAUUAUACACAAGUAGCAAGUUUUUUUUUUUAAACUAAGCACUGUAACCUAUUCUGAAUUUAAAGUGGUGAAUCAGCUCUCUGUAUUUUUUUUUUUUUUUUUUUUGCUUGGUUUAUUUUUCUAUAUAGCAGUAGGUGAAAAAAGGAAAUGUCACUUGUAAAGAAAUAGGUGGUAAGAGUCAAAGCUGUCAUUGACUUUGGGGCCAUAGAUUUGUUCAACAAAUUGUAAAAUAACAAACAACAGACCUGGAGUCUUGGUACCAAAGCUUAUAUGGGGUCUUGUGUGUCUCUGUUUAAUAUUCAGUCCUUCAAUAAUUAAUAUUUUUAUUUCUUACUAUAUGGAGAGACUGAAUUCAAUCUAUGUUCACUUCUGAGAUGAUGAACCUUCCUGUUACUGAGAGACAUGGACAGCUUUUAUUUUUAUUUUAUUGUGAAGACCCCAGACAGCUGAUCACUCACCACUACAUAUAUAUGUAUAACUGUAUUAAAAUCCACUCGGCAUCUAGUAUAUAUACACUGUGAAAGCAUAAAUAAACACAUCAAACCAGUUAAACUUCUCAGAUAUGAUUUGGUAAGUACUAAAGGAGGUUGUUAAUCAGUUCCAGCUGCUUUGAUGUUAAUGAAAUAAACAAUCGGCGCAUUAGAGGGGCAACAAUGAAACAACCCCCUAAACAGGAAUGUUUUUACAGUUGGAGGGAACUGAGAUUUUUUCCCUCCUCAUCUUUUAUGUUUUUUCUCACUAGUUUUGCAUUUGGUGAGGGUCAGUGUCACCAGUGGUAGCAAGAGCUGAUAAGUAACACGUGUUAAUAAAGAAAUGCAGAGGUUGCGCAGGUAGUCCAACUCCUCUGGCAUGUCACAUCAACACAUAACACUGCAUGAAGGUCUGAAGAGCAAGGAGGAGAUGGUCUGAGGAGGCAUAUCCAGAGAGGAAUGGACAGACCUCGACAGGUAAGGCAACAGCACCAUGACUGCCAUUAGGUAUUUGGAUUAAAUUCUGGGAAUCAUUGUUAGAGUUAUGUUGGUGUAGUGGGUUUUCCCUGACCCUGUAGACCCCUGAAACCCUGGUCUUCCCCCCCCACGUGUAUAUAGUGCGCCCGGUGUGGAUUAAUAAAGAACUGUUUAACUGUAUCUCUCAGUCUGCGCAUGAGUCUGUCCCGCCUGCCCUGACAGAAGGAAGACAGGAUAAAAGACAUGCUGUGGAAGAGAGCCAGAGAUUAAUAACAAGUAUGAUUCAGUGCAGAGAGGUGUAUUAACACUAUUAGCACUAUUAAGGUGACUGAAGAACAAAUACUCAGUACAUCAUGAGAACCCCCCAGAAGCCUUCGCAUAUUGCUGCAUAACUGAGGGAGGAAUUGGGGUCCAACCCUAACUAUGUUCAUAUAUUAUUUACCUGUUUUACUGUUAUACUCUAAUACAACACUAACAUGGUGACACUGAGAGUGAAGGGUAUGAUUAAGG